UACGUAGGGGGCAAGCGUUGUCCGGAUUUAUUGGGCGUAAAGAGCGUGUAGGCGGCCAAGCAGGUCCGCUGUGAAAACUCGAGGCUCAACCUCGAGACGCCGAUGGAAACCAUCUAACUAGAGUCCGGAAGAGGAGAGUGGAAUUCCUGGUGUAGCGGUGAAAUGCGCAGAUAUCAGGAAGAACACCCGUGGCUAAGGCGGCUCUCUAGUACGGUACUGACGCUGAGACGCGAAAGCGUGGGGAGCGAACAGG
This 253-nucleotide ribosomal RNA is filed under the name uncultured bacterium. Its description in RNAcentral is "partial 16S ribosomal RNA". It matches the Rfam family "Bacterial small subunit ribosomal RNA", at positions 524 to 776 of the family's 1533-position model. The record is from RNAcentral.